Molecule: long non-coding RNA, 226 nt
Filed under: Phoenix dactylifera (date palm)
Lineage: Eukaryota; Viridiplantae; Streptophyta; Magnoliopsida; Arecales; Arecaceae
Description: long non-coding RNA (PDAC_LNC014039)
Source: RNAcentral
UGUUGGCUGGCUUCUCCUGCUUCGAAUUUGCUUCGACUCAUUUUUGCUUUUUACUCUUGUUCUUGCAGAAAUCUCCUAGAUACGUGGCUAGCGACAAGGAUUCCCACGGUCAAAUACUUGAAUCAGGCACUUGCUGGCUUCAAUCUACUAUAUACAAAUAAUGCAUCAGAUAUGAGAAUAAGAGCCAUUAUAUGACACAAUUUCCUCAUAUCCUUGCAAACCACAU